This is a long non-coding RNA of Osmerus eperlanus (European smelt), 260 nucleotides long. RefSeq lists it as uncharacterized. The transcript has 2 exons. Lineage: Eukaryota; Metazoa; Chordata; Actinopteri; Osmeriformes; Osmeridae. The record is from RefSeq and is a predicted model, not a curated record.
ACCUGAAGAACUGUCUGUGAAUGGACUCUGUUACAGCAGCCAGACUCCAGCUUGCCCUUUACAGUGGAAACAGAAGUGUCAGGGGUGAUGAGGCUCCUGACAUGUCUGCUUUCACUGUAAGGAGUCUACAUGUCUGUUAUCAUUGUAAGGAUCUACAUGUCUGUUAUCACUGUAAGGAGUCUUCAUGUCUGUUAUCACUGUAAGGAGUCUACAUGUCUGUUAUCACUGUAAGGAAUCUUCAUGUCUGUUAUCACUGUAAG